UUUCGGACGGAAAGAGAGAGCAGCAGCGACGGGUGAGUAAAGCACAAGGACUUGUCCCGAAGAGGGGGACAACUGUGGGAAACCACAGCUAAUACCCCAUAAGCCGAGAGGUGAAAGCAGUAAUGCGCUUUAGGAGAGACUUGUGUCCUAUCAGGUAGUUGGUGAGGUAACGGCUCACCAAGCCGAAGACGGGUAGCCGGACUGAGAGGUUGUACGGCCACAUUGGAACUGAGAGACGGUCCAGACUCCUACGGGAGGCAGCAGUGGGGAAUAUUGGGCAAUGGGGGCAACCCUUCGACCCAGCGACGCCGCGUGAGGGAAGACAGCCGUUCGGGUUGUAAACCUCUGUUGCAGGGGAAGAAGAAAGUGACGGUACCCUGCGAGGAAGCUCCGGCAAACUACGUGCCAGCAGCGGC
RNAcentral lists this ribosomal RNA (416 nucleotides) under uncultured bacterium. RNAcentral describes it as "bacterial SSU rRNA". It matches the Rfam family "Bacterial small subunit ribosomal RNA", at positions 75 to 518 of the family's 1533-position model. The record is from RNAcentral.